This 864-nucleotide long non-coding RNA is filed under the name Musa acuminata (dwarf banana). RNAcentral's name for it is "long non-coding RNA (MACU_LNC011840)". Lineage: Eukaryota; Viridiplantae; Streptophyta; Magnoliopsida; Zingiberales; Musaceae. The record is from RNAcentral.
GCCAGCGCCCAUGUCAGACGCUAUCAGCCUGCCUCCUGCAGGCGGGCACAUCAAACAAUAGUAAGUUUCCCUAUAAAUACCCUCUCGUUCAUCAUAGAAGGGGAGGUCACACAUACAAACACUUCUUUUUCUGAAACCCCCUCCACAUCUUCUGCUAACUUAAUCGUCGUAGGGGUCGGGUCGAGCCUCCCGACCCGACCUUUGUGCAGGUGCGAAGCCGUGGGUCCCCGCCGGCCGCGCGGACGACGAGCCCUUGCCCGGAGGAGACGACGAUCCCGUCCCGCCCGACCCAACCUUUGUGCAGGUGCGAAGCCGAGGGUCCCCGCCGGCCGCGCGGACGACGAGCCCCUGCCCGGAGGAGACGACGACCCCGUCCCAAUCGGAACACCACACCGGACCGACCCCGCGGGCUCGAGACAUGCCCCGGAGAGAUCCCCGACGUCCGGAUCCGAACCGAGCCACGUCGGUCCCUAGGCCACGGAUCUCAAAGUUGUUUCCCACAACACCCACAGUAAGAAAAAAAAUCUCAUUAAAAACUUGAAUCGUACAUAAAUAAGAAGUCACAACACGAUGAUGAUCCUCCUAGAGAAAAUCCAAAAAAUUUGCCCAAAUACAACAAAAACAGGAAGUAAUAAUAAUAUUAGAAUUACAAAAUUAUCCUUCCUCUUCUUUGCAAUCGUUGCCACGAGCACAGGGCUGGCCAACGACGGAGAUUGACAACCGAACGUCGGAGACGAGAAGGAGGCUGUACUUGGUUGGAUUUGGGCUGAAGCGGAUCUCUCUCGACGUCUUCCUCACGUCUUCUUCUCUCUUCUCCCCUUCCCGUUUGCUUGCCGCGCUAUUGUUCCCCAAAGUUCCAUUUAU